AAUAAAUACUCCCUCCGUUCACUUUCAACGUUUGACCGUUUGUCUUAUUUGAAAAUUUUUUAUGAUUAGUAUUUUUAUUGCUAUUAGAUGAUAAAACAUGAAUAGUACUUUAUGUGUGACUAAAUAUUUUUAAUUUUUUCACAAAUUUUUUAAAUAAGAUGGACGGUCAAACGUUGGGCACGGAUAUCCACGGCUGCACUUAUU
MicroRNA precursor from Oryza sativa Indica Group (long-grained rice), 204 nucleotides. It matches the Rfam family "MIR812 microRNA precursor family". Lineage: Eukaryota; Viridiplantae; Streptophyta; Magnoliopsida; Poales; Poaceae. The record is from Rfam.